AGCGAACGCUGGCGGCAGGCUUAACACAUGCCAGUCGAGCGGGCACUUUCGGGUGUCAGCGGCGGACGGGUGAGUAACGCGUGGGAACGUGCCCUCUGGUUCGGAAUAACUCAGGGAAACUUGAGCUAAUACUGGAUACGCCCUUUUGGGGAAAGGCUUGCUGCCGGAGGAUCGGCCCGCGUCUGAUUAGCUAGUUGGUGAGGUAACGGCUCACCAAGGCGACGAUCAGUAGCUGGUCUGAGAGGAUGAUCAGCCACACUGGGACUGAGACACGGCCCAGACUCCUACGGGAGGCAGCAGUGGGGAAUAUUGGACAAUGGGCGCAAGCCUGAUCCAGCCAUGCCGCGUGAGUGAUGAAGGCCUUAGGGUUGUAAAGCUCUUUUAUCCGGGACGAUAAUGACGGUACCGGAGGAAUAAGCCCCGGCUAACUUCGUG
This 435-nucleotide ribosomal RNA is filed under the name uncultured bacterium. Its description in RNAcentral is "partial 16S ribosomal RNA". It matches the Rfam family "Bacterial small subunit ribosomal RNA", at positions 29 to 507 of the family's 1533-position model. The record is from RNAcentral.